This 400-nucleotide unclassified non-coding RNA is filed under the name uncultured fungus. Its description in RNAcentral is "sequence contains ITS1". The stretch from base 1 to 107 matches the Rfam family "5.8S ribosomal RNA", at positions 49 to 154 of the family's 154-position model. The record is from RNAcentral. Lineage: Eukaryota; Fungi.
UGAAUUGCGAUAAUUAAUGUGAAUUGCAUAAGCCUGUGAAUCAUCGAGUCUUUGAACGCACCUUGCACUCUCGGGGUCUUCCCGGGAGUAUACCUGUCUGAGAAUCGUAUCCAUCAUGGACCUCCCUUUGGGGGGGGACCGAGCUGGCGGGUCGGCGAUAGCGUGAUGCUGCCGUCUGCCGAAAUGGAGGGAGCGCGGAGCGGCUGCUCUGUGCCAAGAGUGUGACGAGCGUGAUGCCAACUUCACUCGAGGCGCAGGCCAGGUGGUCGCUGUGUGUUCCGGUCUGGGGGCAUUUUUGCCUGGGCGACCUGUCCCUGACCGUAAAAGUGUGUGGGUGAGCUGGUUAGGGUCAUACCUACAUCCCUCUCCCCCACCACUAUCUCACACCGAUCUCAGAUCA